CAGCAGCCACGGGAAUACAGAGGGUGCGAGCGUUAAUCGGAUUUACUGGGCGUAAAGCGUGCGUAGGCGGCUUCUUAAGUCGGAUGUGAAAUCCCUGAGCUUAACUUAGGAAUUGCAUUCGAUACUGGGAAGCUAGAGUAUGGGAGAGGAUGGUAGAAUUCCAGGUGUAGCGGUGAAAUGCGUAGAGAUCUGGAGGAAUACCGAUGGCGAAGGCAGCCAUCUGGCCUAAUACUGACGCUGAGGUACGAAAGCAUGGGAGCAAACAGGAUUAGAUACCCCCGUAGUCCCUGUCUCUUAUACA
RNAcentral lists this ribosomal RNA (301 nucleotides) under uncultured bacterium. RNAcentral describes it as "partial 16S ribosomal RNA". It matches the Rfam family "Bacterial small subunit ribosomal RNA", at positions 509 to 808 of the family's 1533-position model. The record is from RNAcentral.